GUUGAUGUUAGGUAGGCAGCUACAGUAGCUGAAUGAUGUUAACAUCUUCGGGUUUUGUUUCAUUAAAUGUAUUUUAUUUCAUCUGGGUGCUUACGUCACCUACUAACACCCUGGUACUACCCGUAGCUCCCGUUCAACUCAGUCUGAUAAAACACUGAGAGAGAAAGAACAGCUUGUCAGGUGGUGCAUUGGAGACUGAUGUUCCUGUCCUGUCUUUUCACAAUCCUAUUGCAGAUUACAGGAAAAAACUAUGGGAUGAAGGGAUCAGGCCUGACUAACAAAGAAGACAGGUGGAUGGAUCAAGAGGAUCAACAUGGACAUUCCACAGCUCUGAUCAGGCCCUACACCCAAACAAGGGCACUGCGUUCAUCCACCUCUGGCCUGCUCCCCUCCCUACCUCUGAGGAAGCACAGUUCCCGCUCAGCCCAGUCAAAACUGUUCGCUGCUCUGGCACCCCAAUGGUGGAACAAGCUCCCUCACGACGCCAGGACAGCGGAGUCAAUCACCACCUUCCGGAGACACCUGAAACCCCACCUCUUUAAGGAAUACCUGGGAUAGGAUAAAGUAAUCCUUCUAACCCCCCCUUAAAAGAUUUAGAUGCAGUAUUGUAAAGUGGUUGUUCCACUGGAUAUUAUAAGGUGAAUGCACCAAUUUGUAAGUCGC
This 663-nucleotide long non-coding RNA is filed under the name Salmo salar (Atlantic salmon). RNAcentral describes it as "lncRNA (ENSSSAG00000107936.1)". Lineage: Eukaryota; Metazoa; Chordata; Actinopteri; Salmoniformes; Salmonidae. The record is from RNAcentral.